RNAcentral lists this unclassified non-coding RNA (490 nucleotides) under Alternaria altcampina. RNAcentral's name for it is "sequence contains 18S rRNA gene, ITS1, 5.8S rRNA gene, ITS2". The stretch from base 86 to 252 matches the Rfam family "5.8S ribosomal RNA". Lineage: Eukaryota; Fungi; Ascomycota; Dothideomycetes; Pleosporales; Pleosporaceae. The record is from RNAcentral.
GCUCCGCCCGCCAUCAAGGACCAACCCAUAAACCCUUUUUGGUAAUAGCCAAUCCAGCGUCAGGUAACAACGGUAAUUAAUUUACAACUUUCAACAACGGGAUCUCUUGGUUUCUGGCAUCGAUUGAAGAACGCAGCCGAAAUGCGAUACGUUAGUGUGAAUUGCAGAAUUCAGUUGAAUCAUCCGAAUCUUUUGAACGGCACAUUGCCGCCCUUUGGGUAUUCCAAAGGGCAUGCCCUGUUCGAAGCGUCAAUUUGUAACCCUCAAGCUUUGCUUGGUGGUUUUGGGGGGCCGGUUCUUUUGUCCUCCAGCUCGCUGGAAGACUCGCCUUAAAGUCAAUUGGCAAGCCGGCCUACUGGGUUUCCGGAGCGCAGCCACAAGUCGCCGCUCUUGCCCAGGCCAAGGUCAGCGUCCAAGCAAGCCCUUUUUUUCAACCUUUGACCUCGGAUCAGGGUAGGGGAUACCCGCCUGAACUUAAGCAUAUCAAUAA